Molecule: ribosomal RNA, 209 nt
Filed under: Aeromonas caviae
Lineage: Bacteria; Pseudomonadati; Pseudomonadota; Gammaproteobacteria; Aeromonadales; Aeromonadaceae
Description: partial 16S ribosomal RNA
Rfam family: Bacterial small subunit ribosomal RNA
Source: RNAcentral
AAAUUGAAGAGUUUGAUCAUGGCUCAGAUUGAACGCUGGCGGCAGGCCUAACACAUGCAAGUCGAGCGGCAGCGGGAAAGUAGCUUGCUACUUUUGCCGGCGAGCGGCGGACGGGUGAGUAAUGCCUGGGAAAUUGCCCAGUCGAGGGGGAUAACAGUUGGAAACGACUGCUAAUACCGCAUACGCCCUACGGGGGAAAGCAGGGGACC